UAUUCCUCUAUAGACAUAAAACAAACAUGAAACCAAAGCAAUAAAUAAGACUGGAAAUAUAUGUUGCUCUAUCUCCUUUCAUCAGUAUUUUGGUUUAAGUUGUAUGCAAGCAGAUUUUUGAAAUAUCAUAGAAUGGCCUGACUUUUAUAAUUACAGUAAGCAUUACAUUGUAAAGCUGGACUUCCAUGUGUUUGUAUUUAAAAAGAGGCUUUUUUAAUGUAUUAUGCAUUCUUUGUAGAUGUCAUACAGUGUCUGACAAAAAAAGUUGCAAUAUCAUCAACAGACAAUCGAACUGUUCAACUGAUGCCAGAUCAGAAGGUUGGUCAGUCUGUAAUACACAUAAGUGAUGUUGUUCGGUACCCCAGAAAAUGCUGCUGAUUAGAAAAUGGAAGUACAUACUGCUAGCCUUGGCAGAUGUCUUUGCUCCUCUGGUCCAUAAAUUCCUGGCGGGCGAAGAACACAUGUAUGCAGUGCUCCACCUCCUGGGAAAAUUGAGACGAUUCAAACCACGUAACGGAAAAAUCAGGAGCCAAGUUUUUAAGACAUCACGACUGGUCUGUAUUCUAGAGUUUGUUCUCUUGUUGCACUGCCUCAGAGAAAUAGUAUUCGGUAUAUUGUAUUAUUCAAAAUGCCAGGCUUUUUUGGGGGGGGAGGGGGGGAAAGAAGAAUGUAAACAAAGAAGAAAAGUGAAAAAAUAAUACAACCCAAAUACCUUUUCUAUAGGAAAAUAUGGCACAGUUUCCUCAUCACCAUCUUCAAUAGGAAGCCCUCCAAACACCACAUUUACUGUACUGGUGUAUAUCAAUCUAGUGAUGUUCCUUUGUUUGCAAGCUGCAGCAAUAUAUAAAGUAAAGUAGUUCAGUGGAAGCUUGAACAAAAUAGAAAAAAACCUGUAUGAAAGGGAGGUGCUUCUUGACAGAAACUUGUUAGAUUUUCUGGCAAAUCUUAGAAUAGCAAAUCCAUUUUAUUAUUGGAUUAUUUAAGACACAAAGUAUAUGGAAGACAACAGUUAAAUAGAAAAUAUCUGUUCAGAACCAAGUGCUUUAUUAUUCUGCAUCUCCUAAUUUAGGUAAUGUAAGCUAACAGUAUGCCUUUGGGCUGGCUGCUACCAGCCUGGUAGAGGGCUGCAGCCCCAGCCGGGUAGGUAGCUGGAAGACUUUCUGUUCCAAGGGCUGCCCACGACCUGUGCACACACUGUAAUGCAGCAGUGAGGCUUACAGCAUGGAAAGCUGUUCAUGUCUUACAUGCAUACAGACUCUGCCAUAAUGUCAGACAUGAUUAUGACAAGCUGAAGUAGUUGACCUGUAGUGCUGACACUAAUAUCUCGCCCCAGGUAUGAAAAGACCAUUGACGUUUCCUCAUCUUCUGUCAAAACUGUGAUGUAUUUGGUAAAAAAAAAGCAGUUCAUGACAACCAAGUAGGUUUUUUUUCCUAAAUGGCUUCAUACUUUGAUAUGCCACACCAACACCUACCAGCAGGGUUACAUACAUACCAUCAAUGAUGAAUCUUGUCCCAUCGAUGUUUACUGUUUCAAUCUCUUCUUUGUGCAACUGGGAAAAUAAAGUGGUGCCCUUUUGAGUAAUGAUACAUUCUAAAUUCCAUAGGUGGACACUGUAAGUGUCCAUAGAUAAAAGUAAUGAGUGCUUUGAUUAAAAAAAAAAAAUAUAUAUAUAUAUAUAUAUGUAUAGA
This is a long non-coding RNA of Tympanuchus pallidicinctus (lesser prairie-chicken), 1689 nucleotides long. RefSeq lists it as uncharacterized. The record is from RefSeq and is a predicted model, not a curated record. The transcript is spliced from 2 exons. Lineage: Eukaryota; Metazoa; Chordata; Aves; Galliformes; Phasianidae.